This 303-nucleotide ribosomal RNA is filed under the name Triticum aestivum (bread wheat). RNAcentral's name for it is "partial small subunit ribosomal RNA". Lineage: Eukaryota; Viridiplantae; Streptophyta; Magnoliopsida; Poales; Poaceae. The record is from RNAcentral.
AUGUAUAUAUAUAUAGCUCGCUCGUCAGACCAUAUGCAUGCAUUGAUCUUACUUAGUCGUUUGCUCCUGAUCCAGAUGGUCAAAAUCAUGUACACAUUGAGAUUUCACCUUUCUUGUAAGAACAUGUUCUAUAUCCUUGGUGUGUUCCAUUCACGAAUAUUCAAUGAAUUAAGCCGAAAUACUGUACUAGCUUUUCUCAUCUGGAAUGAGAAAAAAAACUACUUGUAUGCUUGUUGUUCUUCCGUACACAAUUCCUUCUUUUUCCUUGAGAGAAGGGCACAUAUUGAUCCAAGGUCUUGCUGA